Molecule: unclassified non-coding RNA, 222 nt
Filed under: Hevea brasiliensis (rubber tree)
Lineage: Eukaryota; Viridiplantae; Streptophyta; Magnoliopsida; Malpighiales; Euphorbiaceae
Source: RNAcentral
UUCACCGACGUCACCGCGGUGGAUUAUCCGGGCCGCGAGAACCGCUUCGACGUGAUCUAUCAUCUCAUGUCGCUGGUGCUGAACACCCGCAUCCGCCUGAGCGGCGAAGCCAACGAGACCACCCAGGUGCCGUCGAUCAUCGGCGUGUUUCCCGGCGCGGACUGGUUCGAGCGCGAGACCUACGAUCUCUAUGGCGUAAUCUUCGUCGGCCAUCCCGAUAUG